UUUUGGUUGGGGUAACCAUAGAGUUGAAAUCUCUAGUUUUAUAGAAGAGUUUUACUCUCUAAAAAAGUUUUAUGAACCAGUUUUUCUGAAAUCAGAAUAAGUUACCGCAGGGAUAACAGCGUUAUCUUCUUUGAGAGUUCUUAUUGACAAGAAGGAUUGCGACCUCGAUGUUGGAUUGGGGCAUCCUUAGGGUGUAGCAGCUUUAAAGGGUUGGACUGUUCGUCCAUU
Molecule: ribosomal RNA, 228 nt
Filed under: Mesothuria milleri
Lineage: Eukaryota; Metazoa; Echinodermata; Holothuroidea; Aspidochirotida; Synallactidae
Description: partial 16S ribosomal RNA
Rfam family: Bacterial large subunit ribosomal RNA
Source: RNAcentral